This 5260-nucleotide long non-coding RNA is filed under the name Lynx pardinus (Iberian lynx). Lineage: Eukaryota; Metazoa; Chordata; Mammalia; Carnivora; Felidae. The record is from RNAcentral.
GGGGAAGGAAUUAAGGAGGCUGUGCCUCCGGGUUGCGCGAAGAGUCCAAGUCAUUUCUCAGAAACCUCCGAUAGGUGGUCCUUAGAGAAAACGCCGCCGGUGAGUAGUGAUUAAGCCUGAGGGGGGGGGGGGGACUUGAAAUCAGCCUUUGUUUUUUUCAGGAAAGGGAAUGCAUUUGGAAUCAUCUAACGCCCCCUAGUACAAAUACCCUUCCUUCUUGCUGUCAUCAGCCUUGCAGGUCUGGGUCUCGCUGCCUCGGAAUGCUUUUUUCCCCCAUUUUUGCAGGGGGCAUGGGUUUGCCUUAAUAUAGAUGAUGGCAGGCUUUACCAAAUCAGGAAGUGAAAUGCGGUAACUUUGCCAAAAUUAUCCCUCUACACGCCGGCUCGGGCUUCCUGGCAGUAGCAGAUGGUGGAGUUAGCAGGUGGAAUGAGGGGAGGUAUUCUUGAUGUAUACUGGCUGCUGGAAGUUGUAGUUUCCUGCUCAAUGGGAGGGCAAUGAAGAGUGUAACCCUUUAGUGAGCCAAAGCCCAGGAAAGGGAAAGGGCUUGGCGUAACUGGCACUCAACAAGCCGGAAGGCGAAUCGUCAGGUGGUGGGAAAGAGCGUAUUUUAUUUAUUUUUUUCAGAUAAAGCCAAAUCCUAAUGCAAACUCUACUCUUAGCAGCCAUGACCUAUGGUCCUGUCAUCUGUCUGACCUGCUCUGUGGGUUGGUGAAAUAAUUCAUUGAGAUAAGGGGGGGGGGGAGGAAUGGAAGCAAGCACCUAGAAUUAUCUUUCCUUUCUUGAGUCAGUGACCCUGUGCUCACUGCUGGCUGUGACGGCCUCAAAAUUAAGGGGUGGCUGGGAACACAGAGUUGGCCACUUGCCUCUUGGGCAUAUCAUCCAGGCAAAGAAUGUGCGCCUUACAAGGGAGGGCAACGGGCAAAGAGUUCCUCCAGAGCUUUUAUUUUCUUUUUUGAAUGUUUAUUUAUUUAUGAGAGAGAGCAUGUGAGCAGGGGAGGGGCAGAGAGAGAGGGAGACAGAAUUCCAAGCAGGCUCCGCACUGUCCGUGCAGAGCCAGAUUCAAGGCUGGAACCCUCGAACUGUGAGAUCAAGACCUGAGCCAAAAUCAAGUCAGAUGCUGAGCCUAUUGAGCUACUCAAGCAGCACCCCCCAUCCGAGGCCUUUAGUCUAGACUCCUCCCGAGCUGAGGGAGAGUUUCCUGUCUUUGCAGGUGAUGCCUCAGAGGCCUGAGCGUUUCUGAGGCAGAGAGAAGAGCUGCUUUUUAAAAGCGAAUUAAACGACGGGUCACAACACCACCACAAACAAAAACAAACACAGAAACCCACCUGAACAAAGUAGCUGGUCCAAAGAAGGUUAGGAGGCCUAGGUUUCCAUCACCCCAUUGGCAUGUCCCCGAGGCCUGUUUGCUUUCUCUGACAUCCUGUGGGCGGGGCUGGAGUUGUAUCUCUGGAGUUGUGGUUGUAUCUCUGCAGCAGUUGUAUCUCUGGAGUUGUGGUUGAUGAGGCCUGAGUAAGCCAUUCCAUUCUUGAUUGCAAACUGCAUCAGGUGCUUAACAGGGCUGCCUUUAGCCAGUCAGGAGGUAUAGAUGGAGGUCACCAUGCCAGGCCCUGGGCCGGAUCUUGGCAAGGGAUGAACAGGGGAUUCAGCAAACGCCUUCCCAGAGUUUGUGCCCCAGUGCCUCUCCGGCUCCAGCUUGCAAGCCUCUAACGGUCUCUCGGAGGUCUGUCCCUGGGCCACUCUUCCUUCCUAAGGCUACUAUAUUCAAAACAUUAAAAUACAUAAAUUUAACCCAAUAAUGCUUUUCACCCACACAUGAAAGUAUCUGAAGAAUAAUUAUGCUUUUCACAAGAUUGCAAAUACUUUACAGUCAGGGAGGUUUGAUUAUGGGAUGUGAGUUAUAAAAUUGAUGAGUGUACCCUGUACGUAUUGUAUAUAUAUGGCAUGUAUAUCUAUGUAAUUAAGGUAUUGACUAUAUACUGAAUGUGUAACCUCAUCUGGAGAUAGCAACAAGAUUUAAUUUUGAGGCCCUUCAACAAAGUGAGACCUGGGCUAAAUGGUCUUCGUGGCUGCCCCUGUGCCAAGCCCUGCGUCUCGUGUCUCCUAGAUGCUGGACGCAGUGUUAGCCCUGUGACAUAUGACUCCUACCAGGAACUAGCAUUCCUGGGGAGAGGGCUAGAUAACAGAAGGAACUGGAAGUCACAGGACAAAGAGCAACUUUGUCCUCAAGCCUGAAGCCUUGAGGCAUAGCAGAGGCUGUGUCUGUUUGGCAUAUAGUAAGCCCUCAAUAAAUGUAGCAUGGGGCGCCUGGGUGGCGCAGUCGGUUAAGCGUCCGACUUCAGCCAGGUCACGAUCUCGCGGUCCGUGAGUUCGAGCCCCGCGUCAGGCUCUGGGCUGAUGGCUCGGAGCCUGGAGCCUGUUUCCGAUUCUGUGUCUCCCUCUCUCUCUGCCCCUCCCCCGUUCAUGCUCUGUCUCUCUCUGUCCCAAAAAUAAAUAAACGUUGAAAAAAAAAAAUUAAAAAAAAUAAAUAAAUAAAAAUAAAUGUAGCAUGAAUGCAUGAAAGAAAGGAAUAUUUGUGGGUAAAUUAAAUAAUUAAACUGAUAAGAAUAAAAUUAAUAACAGCUGCCAUCCAUUGGCCAUUUGUUAUGCAUCGCAUUUUACACGCAUUAUCUCAUCAAAUUCUCGCAACAGCCCUGUGGGGGUAGAAAUGUUAUUAUCUGAUUAUCUGUAUUUUCCAGCAGAGAAAACUGCCUGGAAAGUUAAAUGCCUUGGCCAAGGCAAACAGGUAGCAUAUAACAGAUCAAAAGCUAUUUAUAACAUUUUUUAAAUUGAAAUGAGCAUGUCGUAUGCAUACAAAUUUGUAUGGUUGAUUUUUUUCUUUCUUUUCUACUAUAAGAAGACUUCAAAGAACCCUUAGCGUUGUGGUAAGGUGUUUUUGGCCAGGCCUUCCAGAACCCUAGGAGCAUACUUCAUCUUUCUUCUCCAUUUGGUAGAAAAGCUUGACACGCAUUGAAAAUAUCAGUCCGAUAAAGUCAACGGGAAUGACUGUCAUUGACGAUCUUACUUGAAGCCACAUUAUUACCCCCACUUUACAGAUGAGGCACCUGAGUCUCCCAGAGGUGGUAUGAUCCGGUCACACAGGUCUUCUCCCAGGGUCCAGUGUUACCUCACCUGUGCUAGGCUGACUUUCAGGUAGCAGCCCAGUUCUCCCACCAUUCGUGAAGAUAGCUUUUCUUCUCGUUCUUUCAUUCCGAUAUCGAACACAGGUGGUUCCUUUAUUAUGACAGCAGGAUAUUUUUUGGAGGCCUGGAGAGGCAGACAAGACAAUCUUUUACUUCUUAUGUAGGGGAGCCUAUGGAAAAGGUAGGAUUUCAGUUAGGAGAUGACGGGAAGAAGGAAGCCGGGGGNGGGGGGGGGGGGGGGGGGGGGGGGGGGAGGGGGGGGGGGGGGGGGGGGGGGGGGGGGGGUGGGGAGCAAAAAGGCGAUUAGAAACAAAAUUUUUUUAACUGUUUAAUUAAUUUUUUUAAUGUUUAUUUAUUUUUGAGAGGUUAAGAGAGAGCGAGCACAAGUGGGGUCGGGGCAGAGAAAGAGGGGGACAGAGUAUCCAAAGUGGGUUGUGCACUGACAACAGAGAGCCCCAUGUGGGGCUCAAGCUCUUAAACUGUGAGAUCAUGACCUGAGCCGAAGUCAGACGCAUAACCCACUGAGCCACCCAGAUGCCCCUAAUUAUUUUUGAGAGAGAGAGAGAAUCCCAAGCAGGCUCCAUGCUGUCAGUGCAGAGCCUAACGUGGGGGGGNNNNNNNNNNNNNNNNNNNNNNNNNNNNNNNNNNNNNNNNNNNNNNNNNNNNNNNNNNNNNNNNNNNNNNNNNNNNNNNNNNNNNNNNNNNNNNGGUCAGUGAGUUCGAGCCCCACGUCGGGAUCUGGGCUGACAGCUCAGCGCCUGGGCCUCCUUUGGAUUCUGUGUCUCCCUCUCUCUCUCUGGUCCUCCCCUACUCACACUCUGUCUCUCUCUCAAAAAUAAACAUUAAAAAAAAUAUAUUCUAAAAGAGUCAGAUGCUUAACCAACUGAGCCACCAGGUGCCCUGAGGAAAGGUAAUUUUUAAGGGCCAGGGAAAAAGGUUUUGAGGUAGAUGAGCCAUGUCUUUAUUAUUAUUUAUUUAUUUUUAUUACUUUUUUAAUGUUUAUUUUUUUAAUUUUUUGUCUACCUUUUAUUUAUAUUUGAGAGAGAGAGAGAGAGAGAGAGAGAGAGACAGAGCACAAGUGGGGGAGGGGCAGAGAGAGGGAGACACAGAAUCUGAAGCAGGCUCCAGGCUCCCAGCUGUCAGCACAGAGCCCGAUGCGGGGCUUGAACCCAGGAACCGUGAGANUUUUUAUUACUUUUUUAAUGUUUAUUUUUUUAAUUUUUUGUCUACCUUUUAUUUAUAUUUGAGAGAGAGAGAGAGAGAGAGAGAGAGACAGAGCACAAGUGGGGGAGGGGCAGAGAGAGGGAGACACAGAAUCUGAAGCAGGCUCCAGGCUCCCAGCUGUCAGCACAGAGCCUGAUGCGGGACUUGAACCCAGGAACCGUGAGAUCAUGACCUGAGCUGAAGUCGGACGCUCAAUGGACUGAGCCACCCAGGCGCCCCUUUAAUGUUUAUUUUUGAGAGAGAGAGAGACAGAGUGUGAGCAGGGGAGGCACAGAGAGAGAGGGAGACACAGAAUCUGAAACAGUCUCCAGGCUCCAAGCUGUCAGCACAGAGCCCGGCCAGGGGCUGGAACUCACAAACCGUGAGACCCUGACCUGAGCUGAAGUCAGCUCCUUAAUCCGCUGAGCCACCCAGGCAUCCUGAGCCAUGUCUUUAUUAGGGGAGGCCAAAGGCAUGAUAUAAUUUUGUAAAUGACUUCACUUCUCAUGACGGCUUGCGUUUUGUCCUCAAAGUAUAUCUCCCCUUGGGUGAUCAAGCUGGGCUCACUGUACUUGCAUUGUUCAUGUUCCUCCCCACCACCCUAGGGCGCCGCCAGGAUAAGGAAUCGCACCCUCGCCUGCCUGCUUGGGAGAGACAGAACCUGGCACUUCUCGGGGUGAAGGUGAGGGAGAGGCUGUAAAUCAGCCAGAAGAGCCUCGAAGUCCUCCAACGGCCCCGUGAAAGGAGGUGACCCCCGCCAGGAGAGAUGGUCUCCGGGUUCGGCCCCGCCUAGCGGCAGCUCCAGCUUCCCAGAGAAUGUUCCACUAGCGCCAUGGACCGAGCCCGCGGUGCGGCCCUGCAGCUGCGCCCGCUCCCNN